Clupea harengus (Atlantic herring) is the source of this 400-nucleotide long non-coding RNA. The record is from Ensembl. Lineage: Eukaryota; Metazoa; Chordata; Actinopteri; Clupeiformes; Clupeidae.
GGCAGAGAGAGGCAGACAGUGCAGGACUGAGAGAGAGACAGAGAGAGGCAGACAGCGCGGGGCGGAGAGAGAGACAGAGAGAGACAGACAGUGCAGGACAGAGAGAGAGACAGAGAGGCAGACAGCGUGAGGAGAGGCAGAGAGAGGCAGACAGCGAGAGACAGAGAGAGGCAGACAGCGAGAGAAAGAGAGAGGCAGACAGCGAGAGACAGAGAGAGAAAGAGAGAGGCAGACAGCGAGAGACAGAGAGAGAAAGAGAGAGGCAGACAGCGAGAGACAGAGAGAGAAAGAGAGAGACAGAGAGAGGCAGACAGCGAGAGACAGAGAGAGAAAGAGAGAGACAGAGAGAGGCAGACAGCGAGAGACAGAGAGAGGCAGACAGCGCGAGGCGGAGAGAACG